UCCGGAUGGACCCUUUAAAUAGAACCUGGUCUUGCGUGUUGUACCGUGAUGCUCAAACAGAUUAGUACACCAUCACCAGGGUGCUGCUCACAUUGUACUAGACGCUGAUAAAGAUGCAAGCAGCUGGGUGGACUUUGGUUUUCUGUCUGUGCUUCAACUGUGCGUUUUCAAUUGAAUCCUGUGAGCAUUUAGGAGGAAUCGUUGAAGAGUACAGACUAGGGGCUCUAGUUGGGUCAUCUUUGCUUCUACCAUGCAACAUUCAAAAAAGCGGCCUCAAAACAGUGACAUGGAACUACAAUGGCUCAGGGCAAUUGCUCAAUCUGUCAUCUGAAGGGCACGUUACAUUCCUGGACCCCAGAAAUGGCCGAGUGAAAGCCUUUCCAAACCAGGGCUCAGAGGGGAACUACUCUAUCAGAAUUGAUGCUCUUGAAAAGGCUGACGUAGGAUUUUAUCACUGUAUACAGGGGGGGAAAUGUGUUCAAGUGGUGCUGUAUGAGAUAGGUACACAAAGAAUCCCGUGGCUGGUGAAUUACAUCUGCGCUGGUGUGACUGCUCUAUUUGUGGUGGGUGUUGGUGGCUACUUCAGCUACCAAAAAUGCAAAGGGGAAGACAGGUGAGAAGCCACAGAAUCUUCCUUUUAUAAUUAAUCCUCAGAAGAGGGAAAAGAGAAGAAGGAUGAAGAAGAGCAAAAAUGAAAAGAUUGAAAAGUUACAAAAAUACAAAAUUCUAUAAAUUAUUCAUGAACUAACUGCAAUUAAUGACAUCUAAGGUUGCAAAGCCAUUUUUAAAGCUUCAGGAUUCCAGAGAACCACAGUGAAAGCCAUUAUCCACACACGGAGAAAACUUGGAAAAGUGGUGAACCUUCCCAGGAGUGACCGCCUAACAAGAAGACUCCAUGAUCGCAUUGACCUCAUCUAGGAGGUGAAAAAGAAAACAGAACAUCAUCUCAUGAACUGCAGGCCUCACUUGUCUCAGUUAAUGUCAGAGGUCAUGAUUCAACAAUAAGAGAUAUUGCUCCUUAUCACAACUGUUUGCUUUGAGAGUUUUGCUGCUGCCGCACAACCAGUUAUUAGGUUUAGGGAGCAAUUACUUUUUUCACACAGGGCCAGUUAGGCUUGGAUCAUUUUUAUUCCUUUAAUAAAUGAAAUCAUCAUUUAAAGACUGCAUUUUAUACUUACUCGGGUUACCUUUGUGUGAUAUUGAAGUGUUUGUUGAUCUGAAACAGUCUGACAAACAUGCAAAAAGAAAAAGAAAUCAAGAAGAGGGAAAACCACUUCUUCACAGCAAUGUAUGCAUAUAUGCUGAUUUUUUUUUUUUUUUUUUUGACACUUCCCUUUCACAACCCACUGUGGCUUAUGGUUCUAAUUUAAACUCUCUACUCUGAAACCUGAAAUUUAUGCAGUGUGUGCAUCCACGUGUAAAUUGCAUUGGCUUCUAAAAGAGAAGGUUUGCUUAUCUGUUGUUUACUAAAAUAUAGCAAGUGACAUCAACCACCAAAUAAAACUAACAAAGAAAAG
Molecule: long non-coding RNA, 1517 nt
Organism: Oreochromis aureus
Lineage: Eukaryota; Metazoa; Chordata; Actinopteri; Cichliformes; Cichlidae
Source: Ensembl